Puntigrus tetrazona (Sumatra barb) is the source of this 372-nucleotide long non-coding RNA. RefSeq lists it as uncharacterized. The transcript has 3 exons. The record is from RefSeq and is a predicted model, not a curated record. Lineage: Eukaryota; Metazoa; Chordata; Actinopteri; Cypriniformes; Cyprinidae.
GCGGGACGCCCUCGUCUGGACUGAAGUAUUGUUGCUGUCAAGACUGGAAAGCUACAGGCGGACCUUCGCGCCAUGAACUGAGCAGUGUGUGUUGCGUCAGAAACAAGUUUGAGGAAGUUUAACAUUCUCUCAUGGUUUCUCUGUUUUGUGCUCAGAGAGCCUCGUGGCCACCGGUGAGUUUGUGGAAGAGCUCCUCGUUCAGUGUGUCGCUUUGCUGUCGUCCGCGAGUGGACAUGAAGAUAAAUUCCAAAAUCAGGCAGAGCUUGCCAGAUCUGCAGGAACUUCAAGAUGGCAGACGUCAAAGAGAGCUGCGCCACGUUCUGAAAGGCCUCCAGGAUACGAGGGGUUAACUGAAAACAACAAGAGGAGGUG